AUACAUGGCCAUGCUAUCCUGAACAAGCCCGAUCCUGUCUGAUCUUGGAAGCUAAGCAGGAUUGGGCCUGGUUAGUACUUGGAUGGGAGACCACCUAGGAAAACCAGGUGCUAUAGGCA
This 119-nucleotide ribosomal RNA is filed under the name Pteropus alecto (black flying fox). Lineage: Eukaryota; Metazoa; Chordata; Mammalia; Chiroptera; Pteropodidae. The record is from RNAcentral.